RNAcentral lists this long non-coding RNA (666 nucleotides) under Triticum aestivum (bread wheat). RNAcentral's name for it is "long non-coding RNA (TAES_LNC022857)". Lineage: Eukaryota; Viridiplantae; Streptophyta; Magnoliopsida; Poales; Poaceae. The record is from RNAcentral.
AAACAUGACACAUUGAAUCAGCUAUAGCCAAAAUAGAGACCGUUGAGUACAAUGAUUCCUGUUGUGCGUUGCAUCAAACACAUGACGUGUACAUUGAAGGUAAUCAAAGCCUAAAUUAUUUACAGAAACAAUUUAUAUGAAGUCUUCACCGGGAAGAGAGACUUGCCUAGAGCAAAGAAUGGAGCGCGCAGACACACAUUAUGGCCGUCUUCUCUACUUCUCAUCACAAAUGCUCCCUCUAGUCAGUUCAAGUUAGAUGAAUGAAAGCUUCUCCCUACAAUGAGAUACCAAGUAUAAUUAACAGUCAGUAUAAUGAACACCAAUGGAAGCCAUGGCUGGGCUGCAGCCUCACCAUGGUCCUCCCCUAACAAGCUCAAUUCUUAUUCCCCUACAUCAUUGUAAUCAUGAGAAAUAAAUUGUAUACAGUAUGCAUGCCAUAAAUUGAAGGAGAGAAAUAAGACAUAUACAUCAAGAAGAAAUUUGAAUCGAGCAUUUCAUCGAACACAAGACUCAGAAAAUCUAAAGCAAGUAGCAUGAGGUGCGAGAGAGGCUGAGCGGCACACACAUGUACAGACCGUACAGACGCGAGAGGCACGCCCAUGAUGCUGACGAGCAACCGGAGGUCGUAGUGGGUGGGCUGCAUCAGCGCCGGCCGCCUUGCAGCCA